GAUGAACGCUGGCGGCGUGCCUAAUACAUGCAAGUCGAGCGAACAGAUGAGGAGCUUGCUCCUCUGACGUUAGCGGCGGACGGGUGAGUAACACGUGGAUAACCUACCUAUAAGACUGGGAUAACUUCGGGAAACCGGAGCUAAUACCGGAUAAUAUAUUGAACCGCAUGGUUCAAUAGUGAAAGACGGUUUUGCUGUCACUUAUAGAUGGAUCCGCGCCGCAUUAGCUAGUUGGUAAGGUAACGGCUUACCAAGGCAACGAUGCGUAGCCGACCUGAGAGGGUGAUCGGCCACACUGGAACUGAGACCCGGUCCAGACUCCUACGGGAGGCAGCAGUAGGGAAUCUUCCGCAAUGGGCGAAAGCCUGACGGAGCAACGCCGCGUGAGUGAUGAAGGUCUUCGGCUCGUAAAACUCUGUUAUUAGGGAAGAACAAAUGUGUAAGUAACUAUGCACGUCUUGACGGUACCUAAUCAGAAAGCCACGGCUAACUACGU
Molecule: ribosomal RNA, 496 nt
Filed under: uncultured bacterium
Lineage: Bacteria
Description: partial 16S ribosomal RNA
Rfam family: Bacterial small subunit ribosomal RNA
Source: RNAcentral